UACGUAGGGUGCGAGCGUUAAUCGGAAUUAUUGGGCGUAAAGCGUGCGCAGGCGGUUCGUUGUGUCGGCGGUGAAAGCCCCGGGCUUAACCUGGGAACGGCCGUUGAAACUGGCGAACUGGAGUGUGGCAGAGGGGGGUGGAAUUCCGCGUGUAGCAGUGAAAUGCGUAGAGAUGCGGAGGAACACCGAUGGCGAAGGCAGCCCCCUGGGCUAACACUGACGCUCAGGCACGAAAGCGUGGGGAGCAAACAGG
Molecule: ribosomal RNA, 253 nt
Filed under: uncultured bacterium
Lineage: Bacteria
Description: partial 16S ribosomal RNA
Rfam family: Bacterial small subunit ribosomal RNA
Source: RNAcentral